This 1364-nucleotide long non-coding RNA is filed under the name Acyrthosiphon pisum (pea aphid). RNAcentral describes it as "uncharacterized LOC115033496, transcript variant X1". Lineage: Eukaryota; Metazoa; Arthropoda; Insecta; Hemiptera; Aphididae. The record is from RNAcentral.
UGAUUAUCAAUAUUUUCAAAUGAAAACUAACAAAUAACAAACUAACACUAAUGAAAAAUGCUUUUUCUAGUUCAUACAUGAAUACAUGAUAUAAGUUCUCAAGUUAAAAUUCAAAUCACGUGUAUAGCAACAUUUUCUCCUAAUGGAGGUCUACCAGCUAAUAACCGUUUGCUACCUUUUGUUAUACCUGCACUUCGUCGAGCUAUUGUGGUAGGUUGAACCUUAAUAGUUGCACCAUCUCUAUUUCUCAAUGGUACACAAUUCCCUGCUACGAUGACCCAUAUGAAGUAUUACACAGGUUUAAUAAGUUUAAUACAUUUUCAAAUUUGCUGCUAUCAUUUGAUUCUGAGCUGGAACUUGCUUCUACUUUUAAAAAUGGAUCAUAAAAUGACUUAUCCAAGACUUGUUCUCCAAAGGCAACUUUAGCUAUAUUAAAACGGUCUGUAGCAGUUAUAGAAGGAAAAUUAUCAGAUUUAAUAUUAAAAAAUUGAAAAAUAGCAUACUGAUGUUUACAAAACUUUCCAGCCAAGGCACUAGAACAUGAACAAAGACCACAUUUAAUAUUAACAUAAUAUAAUAAUGUUUGUUCUUGUUCACUUGGCACUAAAAAUUCAUAGUCAUUUUCUUGUACAAUCAUAUCUUCUUUUAAAUAUGUAACUUUCUUCAUCAUUUUUUGUAACAUUAAUCUGAUUGAGGAAUUUCUACUGUCUGCAAAUUCUCUUAGUCUUCUUUUAUAAUAAUCUUCUAAAGCUGUACUAGUUAAAUCUAUUAAAGCUAACACAUUGUACGCUUUUACUCUACCUAAAACAUGAUCUUUAUAAAGUCUAACUGCUACUUCACAGUAAUUGUUAGUUACAUGACCUCUAGAAUAACUGUCCCUAAAACAUAUACACCAUUUUUCUUUAUAUGUCCAAUAAUUACACAAAUAUUUUGUCCAUUGAUGCUAACCUUACUUAUUUGUAUUAUCUGUAUCUAAUAUUAUGUAAGUAUACUAUUCUUUAUUGCUAUAAUUGGAUAUUUACCUCAAUUAAUCCAACACCACUACGUGGACCUAAAUUCAAACUUCUCCAACCAUCAUACCAAAAACGAACCGUACGAUAACAUGGAUUAAUGCCUCCAUUAGCAAAAUGUUCCAACGUGAAAUCCUCUUUUAACUCCAAUAAUUGUUCAUGAUAUUUUUGUGAUUCAGUUAUACCCAUUCCAGAAUCAAAAUACUCAUAAAACAUAUUUUUUAAAUCAUCACCAGCCGGAAUAAAUCUGAGACUUUCAGCAGAUUUUAUAGUAUGGGUAUGAUGAUUAUAUAUUUCUAUACAACAUACUAAACCUUUCUGUAAUAUAAAUAUUAAAUAUCUAUUUAUUGUAAA